UCAUGCAUGGGUCUUGUUAUUUGACGGGAGAGGGUGUGGCACCAGACCCUGUCACACCGGCUUGCCUGGCUCCACACAUCUGUCAGGUUUGGCCUCUGUGCCUGGGAGUCCCGCUGAGUCACACCCACCUCAGGUGAGGCCAGCUUAGAUACUUCUCUAUUUUGACUGCCUUAGCCUCGAACCUACCCCUGCUCACUUUUGUAAGUCCCAGGUCCAGAAUUGGUCUUUCUAAAUCUAUUCUGUGUAAAACACAUCCUAGGAGCAAAAGGGACCCUUCCCAGAAGACGACCCCACCCCCAUCCCCAACUCAGGUCAGUCCUGUGGAGGCAGGAGGCUCAGUGUCCAGUCCUGCUGGAUUAUUCCUUUCCCAUCCAUCCCCAGUACCCAUUCUUUCUGGUCCCACUAUACUGUUUUCCCCCAGCCUCCAAAGCUGCCUUUCAUGGUGGCCAAUCAUAAAGCUAGACGUGGCACAGAGACUGGCUAGCUGGGACAGUUGGCUAGAACCCAGCUUCUGCUUGACCUCAGGACCCCCUUCCUCCCUCUCCUUUGCCCUCUGUUUCCAGUUUCUUGCUGGUUCUUUUCUACUCAAGCACACUUGGAGAAGUAAGGAUGGUUAAUAAAGGGGCUUACACUGCUGAA
Molecule: long non-coding RNA, 639 nt
Filed under: Rattus norvegicus (Norway rat)
Lineage: Eukaryota; Metazoa; Chordata; Mammalia; Rodentia; Muridae
Description: long non-coding RNA NONRATT014005
Source: RNAcentral